Molecule: transfer RNA, 70 nt
Filed under: Sphaerodactylus elegans
Lineage: Eukaryota; Metazoa; Chordata; Lepidosauria; Squamata; Sphaerodactylidae
Description: tRNA-Thr
Rfam family: tRNA
About the family: Transfer RNA (tRNA) molecules are approximately 80 nucleotides in length. Their secondary structure includes four short double-helical elements and three loops (D, anti-codon, and T loops). Further hydrogen bonds mediate the characteristic L-shaped molecular structure. tRNAs have two regions of fundamental functional importance: the anti-codon, which is responsible for specific mRNA codon recognition, and the 3' end, to which the tRNAs corresponding amino acid is attached (by aminoacyl-tRNA synthetases). tRNAs cope with the degeneracy of the genetic code in two manners: having more than one tRNA (with a specific anti-codon) for a particular amino acid; and 'wobble' base-pairing, i.e. permitting non-standard base-pairing at the 3rd anti-codon position.
Source: RNAcentral
GCCCCCGUAGCUUAACCACAAUAAAGCAUUGGCCUUGUAAACCAAAAAUGGGCCCCGAGCCCCGAGGACA